CNGGUGUAGCGGUGGAAUGCGCAGAUAUCAGGAGGAACACCGAUGGCGAAGGCAGGUNUCUGGGCUGUAACUGACGCUGAGAAGCGAAAGCAUGGGGAGCGAACAGGAUUAGAUACCCUGGUAGUCCAUGCCGUAAACGUUGGGCACUAGGUGUGGGGGACAUUCCACGUUUUCCGCGCCGUAGCUAACGCAUUAAGUGCCCCGCCUGGGGAGUACGGCCGCAAGGCUAAAACUCAAAGAAAUUGACGGGGGCCCGCACAAGCGGCGGAGCAUGCGGAUUAAUUCGAUGCAACGCGAAGAACCUUACCAAGGCUUGACAUAUACUGGACUGCGUCAGAGAUGGCGUUUCCCUUCGGGGCUGGUAUACAGGUGGUGCAUGGUUGUCGUCAGCUCGUGUCGUGAGAUGUUGGGUUAAGUCCCGCAACGAGCGCAACCCUCGUUCUAUGUUGCCAGCACGUGAUGGUGGGGACUCAUAGGAGACUGCCGGGGUUAACUCGGAGGAAGGUGGGGAUGACGUCAAAUCAUCAUGCCCCUUAUGUCUUGGGCUUCACGCAUGCUACAAUGGCCGGUACAGAGGGUUGCGAUACUGUGAGGUGGAGCUAAUCCCUAAAAGCCGGUCUCAGUUCGGAUUGGGGUCUGCAACUCGACCCCAUGAAGUCGGAGUCGCUAGUAAUCGCAGAUCAGCAACGCUGCGGUGAAUACGUUCCCGGGCCUUGUACACA
RNAcentral lists this ribosomal RNA (722 nucleotides) under uncultured bacterium. Its description in RNAcentral is "bacterial SSU rRNA". It matches the Rfam family "Bacterial small subunit ribosomal RNA", at positions 670 to 1389 of the family's 1533-position model. The record is from RNAcentral.